UACGAGGACAGUCGGUUUAUUUCAUAUAAGUAUUUCGUACUUGUUACACAUAUAACCAUAAUUGUUUACAGUUAAAAAAUAC
This is a long non-coding RNA of Melitaea cinxia (Glanville fritillary), 82 nucleotides long. RefSeq lists it as uncharacterized. Lineage: Eukaryota; Metazoa; Arthropoda; Insecta; Lepidoptera; Nymphalidae. The transcript has 3 exons. The record is from RefSeq and is a predicted model, not a curated record.